RNAcentral lists this ribosomal RNA (1372 nucleotides) under uncultured bacterium. RNAcentral's name for it is "bacterial SSU rRNA". It matches the Rfam family "Bacterial small subunit ribosomal RNA", at positions 28 to 1381 of the family's 1533-position model. The record is from RNAcentral.
GAUGAACGCUGGCGGCGUGCCUAAUACAUGCAAGUCGAGCGAACGGACGAGAAGCUUGCUUCUCUGAUGUUAGCGGCGGACGGGCGAGUAACACGUGGAUAACCUACCUAUAAGACUGGGAUAACUUCGGGAAACCGGAGCUAAUACCGGAUAAUAUUUUGAACCGCAUGGUUCAAAAGUGAAAGACGGUCUUGCUGUCACUUAUAGAUGGAUCCGCGCUGCAUUAGCUAGUUGGUAAGGUAACGGCUUACCAAGGCAACGAUGCAUAGCCGACCUGAGAGGGUGAUCGGCCACACUGGAACUGAGACACGGUCCAGACUCCUACGGGAGGCAGCAGUAGGGAAUCUUCCGCAAUGGGCGAAAGCCUGACGGAGCAACGCCGCGUGAGUGAUGAAGGUCUUCGGAUCGUAAAACUCUGUUAUUAGGGAAGAACAUAUGUGUAAGUAACUGUGCACAUCUUGACGGUACCUAAUCAGAAAGCCACGGCUAACUACGUGCCAGCAGCCGCGGUAAUACGUAGGUGGCAAGCGUUAUCCGGAAUUAUUGGGCGUAAAGCGCGCGUAGGCGGUUUUUUAAGUCUGAUGUGAAAGCCCACGGCUCAACCGUGGAGGGUCAUUGGAAACUGGAAAACUUGAGUGCAGAAGAGGAAAGUGGAAUUCCAUGUGUAGCGGUGAAAUGCGCAGAGAUAUGGAGGAACACCAGUGGCGAAGGCGACUUUCUGGUCUGUAACUGACGCUGAUGUGCGAAAGCGUGGGGAUCAAACAGGAUUAGAUACCCUGGUAGUCCACGCCGUAAACGAUGAGUGCUAAGUGUUAGGGGGUUUCCGCCCCUUAGUGCUGCAGCUAACGCAUUAAGCACUCCGCCUGGGGAGUACGACCGCAAGGUCGAAACUCAAAGGAAUUGACGGGGACCCGCACAAGCGGUGGAGCAUGUGGUUUAAUUCGAAGCAACGCGAAGAACCUUACCAAAUCUUGACAUCCUUUGACAACUCUAGAGAUAGAGCCUUCCCCUUCGGGGGACAAAGUGACAGGUGGUGCAUGGUUGCCGUCAGCUCGUGUCGUGAGAUGUUGGGUUAAGUCCCGCAACGAGCGCAACCCUUAAGCUUAGUUGCCAUCAUUAAGUUGGGCACUCUAAGUUGACUGCCGGUGACAAACCGGAGGAAGGUGGGGAUGACGUCAAAUCAUCAUGCCCCUUAUGAUUUGGGCUACACACGUGCUACAAUGGACAAUACAAAGGGCAGCGAAACCGCGAGGUCAAGCAAAUCCCAUAAAGUUGUUCUCAGUUCGGAUUGUAGUCUGCAACUCGACUACAUGAAGCUGGAAUCGCUAGUAAUCGUAGAUCAGCAUGCUACGGUGAAUACGUUCCCGGGUCU